Oryctolagus cuniculus (rabbit) is the source of this 733-nucleotide long non-coding RNA. RefSeq lists it as uncharacterized. NCBI's taxonomy places the organism in Eukaryota, Metazoa, Chordata, Mammalia, Lagomorpha, Leporidae. The record is from RefSeq and is a predicted model, not a curated record.
GGAAAUGCUAAGUCCCCACCCUUCAAUCACACAGAGCAAGAGAGAAACAAAUCAGUUUAAAUUCUCGGAGCUUGGGGACUAUUACUUUAAGAAUGAAGGUGGAAGAAGGGAAGAGAGUUAAGAAAUUCCAGUUAUCAUGCCACAACAGAGAGCUGGAUCAGAAGUGGAGCAGCCGCGACUCAAACCAACACUCAUAUGGGAUGCCAGCACUGCAGGCAGCGGCUUUACCCACCACGCCACAGCACCGGCCCCAUGAUAGUGCUUACUAUACUACAGUGGUGUGUGGUACUUGCUCAGCAAGGUGUGUGCAGAGUGCCUGCAAGAAUGUGAGAAUAGACAAGCAAAUACAAGCAGUAAAACUAUUUAAGAUCUUCAUUCCAUCCAUCUGCUCCAGUCUCCACAGAAUGUGCUCAUAGCUGCAGAAGCAGUAGGUGUUGGGAAGUUGCAACCUCACAUGCAUGGAAGCAAACUUGGCCUUUGUCAUGUAUGCCUCACAGUAUGUAAGUUCAUGCAAACUUGGCAAAGAAAGCCCUCCAUUUGCUUAAAGUUGUUUCUAUCAAUUUUAAACCUCACAUUUUCUGAUAACCUUUAAAGAGCUUCCACUGACAAACUAAUCAUGUUCCCAUUAUAUAUGCUAUCUUGUUUGUAUGACAUUAUAUACUUUCAUUUGUCUUUAUUCAUUAUGCUGAAAAUUUAAUUGGACUAGUAAUAAAGCAAUAUCAAAGAAAUGACU